Molecule: transfer RNA, 70 nt
Filed under: Halorubrum kocurii JCM 14978
Lineage: Archaea; Methanobacteriati; Methanobacteriota; Halobacteria; Halobacteriales; Haloferacaceae
Description: tRNA-OTHER
Source: RNAcentral
GGAUCAAUGCCGCACAGGCAACGGUAGCCCUCUCACGGCAAUGACCUGGGUUCGAAUCCCAGCCGGAGCA